AAGCGUGCGCAGGCGGUUAUGUAAGACAGAUGUGAAAAUCCCCGGGCUCAACCUGGGAACUGCAUUUGUGACUGCAUGGCUAGAGUACGGUAGAGGGGGAUGGAAUUCCGCGUGUAGCAGUGAAAUGCGUAGAUAUGCGGAGGAACACCGAUGGCGAAGGCAAUCCCCUGGACCUGUACUGACGCUCAUGCACGAAAGCGUGGGGAGCAAACAGGAUUAGAUACCCCUGU
This 230-nucleotide ribosomal RNA is filed under the name uncultured bacterium. RNAcentral's name for it is "partial 16S ribosomal RNA". It matches the Rfam family "Bacterial small subunit ribosomal RNA", at positions 563 to 791 of the family's 1533-position model. The record is from RNAcentral.